This 432-nucleotide unclassified non-coding RNA is filed under the name soil metagenome. Its description in RNAcentral is "partial contains 5.8S ribosomal RNA, internal transcribed spacer 2, and large subunit ribosomal RNA". The stretch from base 1 to 120 matches the Rfam family "5.8S ribosomal RNA", at positions 35 to 154 of the family's 154-position model. The record is from RNAcentral.
GAUGAAGAACGUAGCGAAAUGCGAUACGUAAUGUGAAUUGCAGAAUUCAGUGAAUCAUCGAAUCUUUGAACGCAUAUUGCGCUCUCUGGUAUUCCGGAGAGCAUGCUUGUUUGAGUAUCAGUAAACACCUCAACUUCCAUAUCUUUUUUGAAAUGGGAGUUGGACUUGAGUGAUCCCAACGCUUUUCCUCACCGAAAAGUGGCGGGUUACUUGAAAUGCAGGUGCAGCUGGACUUUUCUCUGAGCUAUAAGCAUAUCUAUUUAGUCUGCCUAAAAAACAGAUCAUUACCUUUGCUGCAGCUAACAUAAAGGAGAUUAGUUCUUGUGCUGACUGAUGCAGGAUUCACAAAGACAGGCUUCGGCCGACUUUGUAAACUCGAUCUCAAAUCAAGUAAGACUACCCGCUGAACUUAAGCAUAUCAAAAGCGGAGGA